This 89-nucleotide transfer RNA is filed under the name bioreactor metagenome. Its description in RNAcentral is "tRNA-Ser". The record is from RNAcentral.
GGUUUAUUCUGGUAUACCUCGGCAAGUGCGUUGGGGUAGAGCUCCGAAUAGAACGGCUUGCCGUUUGGAUCGUACCCAUAGGGAAACCA